This 1802-nucleotide long non-coding RNA is filed under the name Medicago truncatula (barrel medic). RNAcentral describes it as "lncRNA gene9045". Lineage: Eukaryota; Viridiplantae; Streptophyta; Magnoliopsida; Fabales; Fabaceae. The record is from RNAcentral.
AUUAGACUCAAAUUUUUUAAAUAAAAUCCAUGCUUCUUGGAUUUAAUUAGGAGGCUAAAUCUACUAAAGGCGACGCAGUCAAAUUUCUAAGCAUGGAUUAACCAUUUAUGAAAUUGAUAGAUACCUUGCAACAACAACAUUGUUACCAAAAAUAUUAUAGUUUGUGCUCAAUAUAUAAACUUAUUGCAAAAAUACAAUCCCAAAAAUAAAAGGAAAAUAAAGCAAAACAGGGACAUAGAUGGAAUUGACAACUUUAAUAUAUGAAACAACAAACAUAAAGGAUUGAAUGAACCAUUUGAUCCAAUCCAAAGUCACAAUUCCUUGACAUUAAAAAGAAAAAUGAAAAUUACAAAAUGAUUCACCAUAAACAUUCACAUUUUCACAUGCAUCAAACUAAGCAAAGCAAAUUCAAUUACAGACAUAUAAAAGAAUAAGAGAUUUGUAUGUAACAAUUUUUUAGUAUAUGCAAACUAUUACACAUAUACAACAUAUUUGUGAUCUUGAUCAACAAACUUUCAAGCCUUUGGUGGUUCUACUUGUUCAACCGCAGCUGGUUCAACCGGUUUUUCCUCCUGUUUCUCGGCAGGAGGAGGAGUCGGCUCAGCUGCAUCCUUUUCUUCAACCUUCUCUGCAACAGAUUCAAUUUUCUCACUUGUUUCUUCCUUUUUCUCUUCUUCAACAACUAUUUCCCUCUCUUUCACACCACUUGUUUCAUCUUCUGUUUUUGUUUCUGUAGUAGCUGGUGCUUCUUCAACUUUCUCUUCUGUGACUAUGAAAGUUGAUACCUUCUCAAAAACAAAGAAAACUGGACCUGAAACUAAGGCUGGUCCAAACUUGGAUGAUGCUUCAGAUACUGCUUUUGAUCCAGGAAAAUCUGAAAUAUAUAUACUCACUUGUAUCAAUAUAUUUUUCUUCAAAAAUAAACAAAAAAUCCAAGUUGUAAUUAACUUUAAAACAAAUAAAAUUGAUGAAAAAUCUAUAAAUACUUUACCAAUUUUAACAAGUUCUUCUAUGAAUUUGUGAACUUCUGUUGAGUUCUUCUUUAGACCUGCUUGAUCACGUUCUUUGACCAAACUCUGUAAAGGUGAUAUUGAAAAUUUUCCAUCAAUAUUAGUGUCCUUUUCACUUCUUAAAUUUUAUAUUUUGGCACCUACAGAUGUACAAACAUACUCCUUCCGUAACAAAAUAUAAAUAAAAAUCUCAUGUAUGUGGCCCAAAUUUUAACCAGAUACCGUCUAAAUGAAUCUGAUCUAAAUUUAGACCAAAUAUAUAUACUUUUUUGCUUAUAUAUUUUGUUACGGAGGGAAUACAUGAAUAUAGAUCAUGUAUAUGUGUAUGUAUAUAGAUAUGUAUACUUAAUUAUAUAAGUAUAUUCUUCUUACCUUGAUUUCAGUUGAAGAUGCUUCAUAUACCGCAAGUACUUUUGUUUGAAGUUCAGUUUUCUUUUCCUCAAACUCUUUAUUGAUUCCCUCCUAAACAAAAUACCAAACCACAUCAAAUAUAUGAACUAGUUUUUCAUUUUCAACGUAUAUAAAAAACCAUAAGACAAAAAAAAAAAACACUCGAUAAAAUUUAAGAAAACAAACCUUUGACUCAUCAAAGGUCUUGGAAACCUCAGCAGCAGCUGUUUUCUUAGUACUAUUCUUCUCAAAAACCUUCUUGAUCUUGGGAAGAACCUUUGUUGUCCAGUAACCCAUCUUUUGCUUCCAAAUGUUUUUUUUUUCUUCUGUGUUUUUCUCUGUGGUCCUUAACCUUGAGUUCUUAUAACUAUCAAAGUCGAACUCAACUCAAGCCACUUGUCU